RNAcentral lists this transfer RNA (75 nucleotides) under bacterium. RNAcentral describes it as "tRNA-Glu". It matches the Rfam family "tRNA". From Rfam's summary of the family: Transfer RNA (tRNA) molecules are approximately 80 nucleotides in length. Their secondary structure includes four short double-helical elements and three loops (D, anti-codon, and T loops). The record is from RNAcentral. RNAcentral also lists the same sequence under 1 other name.
GACCCCUUCGUCUAGCGGUUAGGACGGCGGCCUCUCACGCCGCUAACAGCGGUUCGAAUCCGCUAGGGGUCGCCA